AGACAGAACUAAUACAGUUUUUAGCAGUCUUUGCUACAGGGGAGAAAGCAAGAGUACCCAGAAUUUGAAGACUUCACACAGCCCUUGAGAAGCCUUGACUUGUGUGACUCACGGCAAAGCAUCACGGAUAAGAGGGAAUUGGGGCAACGUAAGGACCUGCUUUGUGAGAGGGAAAUUCCUGUAUAUUUCAUACCUUUUUAUAGUUUUUAGAGCUAUUGUCAUCCCCCUUUUGCAGGUCUGCACCCCAGUCACUGCCUGUAAGAAGAGUAUGUAGAAAGCAUGUGAGACCUUCGUUUCUCACUAUAAACAGAACAAAGAACAGAAGCAGACAACAGAAACUCUUCCUAUCACACUCCUGUGCCUGUAGGGGACCUGUAAAAGUGAGCACGUGGUGACAAGAGUCCUGUCCUUUUGGGGAAAGUUUUCCGGACAUCUGGGAUCUGUACGUCCAUCACUCUCAGUUUGUGCUCUGCUUAGUACUCUGCUUUCUGCUCUGCUGUGACACCAGCAUCACAAACAGCCACUCACCAGUACUUCAGCUCUGAACUGCUAUGUUUUGGGACAAAGUCACUCAUCAUAUAAAAGCUCAUUUGGGGGGAUAUUAAGGAAAUCUCAGUUGGUUUUGCUUUGGAAAUUGACAUGGUCAAAAAACCCCUUCUGGAUCAUAAAAGGAUUUGAACCAUGCUUGAGAAACCUUCAUUUUCUGAGAAACACAAGAACCUGUUUUUUUAGGCAUGCUUGAGAAAUAAGAUCUAUA
RNAcentral lists this long non-coding RNA (757 nucleotides) under Anser brachyrhynchus (Pink-footed goose). Its description in RNAcentral is "lncRNA (ENSABRG00000014951.1)". The record is from RNAcentral. Lineage: Eukaryota; Metazoa; Chordata; Aves; Anseriformes; Anatidae.